CGGGGACCCGCACAAGCGGUGGAGCAUGUGGUUUAAUUCGACGCUAACGCGAAGAACCUUACCAGGUCUUGACAUCCUCUGACAGUCUUAGAGAUAAGGCAUUCUAGCUUCGGUUAGACAGAGAGACAGGUGGUGCAUGGUUGUGUCAGCUCGUGUCGUGAGAUGUUGGGUUAAGUCCCGCAACGAGCGCAACCCUUAUUCUUAGUUGCCAGCACUAACGGUGGGCACUCUAAGGAGACUGCCGGUGACAAACCGGAGGAAGGUGGGAUGACGUCAAAUCAUCAUGCCCUUUAUGACCUGGGCUACACACGUGCUACAAUGGCCUAUACAAAGGGUAGCGAAGCUGUGAAGUGGAGCCAAUCCCAAAAAGUAGGUCUCAGUUCGGAUUGUAGGCUGCAACUCGCCUAUAUGAAGUCGGAAUCGCUAGUAAUCGCGGAUCAGCAUGCCGCGGUGAAUACGUUCCCGGGCCUU
This 471-nucleotide ribosomal RNA is filed under the name uncultured Peptococcaceae bacterium. RNAcentral describes it as "bacterial SSU rRNA". It matches the Rfam family "Bacterial small subunit ribosomal RNA", at positions 914 to 1382 of the family's 1533-position model. Lineage: Bacteria; Bacillati; Bacillota; Clostridia; Eubacteriales; Peptococcaceae. The record is from RNAcentral.